GUUGGUGGGAUAAAAGCUUACCAAGCCGACGAUCUGUAGCUGGUCUGAGAGGAUGAUCAGCCACACUGGGACUGAGACACGGCCCAGACUCCUACGGGAGGCAGCAGUGGGGAAUUUUGGACAAUGGGGGCAACCCUGAUCCAGCCAUGCCGCGUGCAGGAUGAAGGCCUUCGGGUUGUAAACUGCUUUUGUACGGAACGAAAAGACUCUGGUUAAUACCUGGGGUCCAUGACGGUACCGUACGAAUAAGGAUCGGCUAACUCCGUGCCAGCAGCCGCGGUAAUACGGAGGAUCCGAGCGUUAUCCGGAAUCAUUGGGUUUAAAGGGUCCGCAGGCGGGCGUCUAAGUCAGUGGUGAAAUCCCGCGGCUCAACCGUGGAAUUGCCAUUGAUACUGGUCGCCUUGAAUCGUUGUGAAGUGGCUAGAAUAUGUAGUGUAGCGGUGAAAUGCUUAGAUAUUACAUAGAAUACCGAUUGCGAAGGCAGGUCACUAACGACGCAUUGACGCUGAUGGACGAAAGCGUGGGGAGCGAACAGGAUUAGAUACCCUGGUAGUCCACGCCGUAAACGAUGGAUACUAGCUGUCCGGUGCGCGUUGGCGCGCUGGGUGGCCAAGCGAAAGUGAUAAGUAUCCCACCUGGGGAGUACGUUCGCAAGAAUGAAACUCAAAGGAAUUGACGGGGGCCCGCACAAGCGGUGGAGCAUGUGGUUUAAUUCGAUGAUACGCGAGGAACCUUACCAGGGCUUAAAUGCAGUCCGACAGGCCGGGAAACCGGUCCUUCUUCGGACGGAUUGCAAGGUGCUGCAUGGUUGUCGUCAGCUCGUGCCGUGAGGUGUCAGGUUAAGUCCUAUAACGAGCGCAACCCCUGUCGUUAGUUGCCAGCAUGUAAAGAUGGGAACUCUAGCGAGACUGCCGGUGCAAACCGCGAGGAAGGUGGGGAUGACGUCAAAUCAUCACGGCCCUUACGUCCUGGGCCACACACGUGCUACAAUGGCCGGUACAAUGGGCAGCCACGCCGCAAGGCGGAGCGAAUCCACAAAACCGGUCUCAGUUCGGAUCGGGGUCUGCAACUUGACCCCGUGAAGCUGGAAUCGCUAGUAAUCGGAUAUCAGCCAUGAUCCGGUGAAUACGUUCCCGGGCCU
Molecule: ribosomal RNA, 1141 nt
Filed under: uncultured bacterium
Lineage: Bacteria
Description: bacterial SSU rRNA
Rfam family: Bacterial small subunit ribosomal RNA
Source: RNAcentral